Molecule: small RNA, 162 nt
Filed under: Dorea sp. CAG:105
Lineage: Bacteria; Bacillati; Bacillota; Clostridia; Lachnospirales; Lachnospiraceae
Description: Clostridiales-1 RNA
Rfam family: Clostridiales-1 RNA
Source: Rfam by way of RNAcentral
AAUACCAAGGGAUAAAAGUGUGUCAUCCGUCUGAACUUGUUCAGAGACGGAUGACACACUUUGAGACCUGCCACGUUAUGAGCAUGUAAGAGGAGCGUAAGCUCCACGAUAUGCGAAUAGCGGGGGCGAAUUGCGAGAGUACGCAGUACUCCGGCUUCCAUU